UACGUAGGGUGCAAGCGUUGUCCGGAAUUAUUGGGCGUAAAGAGCUCGUAGGCGGUUCGUCGCGUCGGCUGUGAAAUCCCGAGGCUCAACCUCGGGUCUGCAGUCGAUACGGGCGGACUGGAGUUCGGCAGGGGAGACUGGAAUUCCUGGUGUAGCGGUGAAAUGCGCAGAUAUCUGGAGGAACACCGGUGGCGAAGGCGGCGUUCUGGACUGCAACUGACACUGAGGAACGAAAGCCAGGGGAGCAAACGGG
This 253-nucleotide ribosomal RNA is filed under the name uncultured bacterium. RNAcentral describes it as "partial 16S ribosomal RNA". It matches the Rfam family "Bacterial small subunit ribosomal RNA", at positions 524 to 776 of the family's 1533-position model. The record is from RNAcentral.